Oreochromis niloticus (Nile tilapia) is the source of this 1690-nucleotide long non-coding RNA. RefSeq lists it as uncharacterized. The transcript has 3 exons. The record is from RefSeq and is a predicted model, not a curated record. Lineage: Eukaryota; Metazoa; Chordata; Actinopteri; Cichliformes; Cichlidae.
UUCUCAAGAUGUCCAGAUAAUGUUUUUCCCUUGUGGCCACUAUUAUAAUCCCUCUGUUCUAUUUGUCAUGUCCUGGAAUUUUUUUUUAUUUUUUAUUUUUUAUACAGAUUAUGACAAGAUUUUUUUGAGAAACUUUGCUGGAAUAGUAUGGGCUCAAAUUGUGGUCAUAAAUAUUUUGUACUUGUAAAUCAAAUGUGUAUUUGUGUACUGAGCUUUGUAACCUUGUAAACCAAAAUAUAUUAAAAUGUUAUCUUUGUGCAUCUAUAGAUGAGAAUUUGUGUGUAAAAAGGAUUUGUGUUUGUAAAAAAUAUUUACACGAGUUAUAAGUUUUUUUGUUAAGGUCUGGUUACAGAUAUAAAGCAAAAAACUAAGUGCAAAACUCUGCACUCAGGUUCCCUGGCUGGGUGUGGAUUUCAACUUACAUGUACAAAUUUUGACCCUGUCAGCUGCUUGGUCAAUGUCAUGUCAAUCACAAAUUUAACAAUCCAAUCAGAGAACAGAUGGGUUUGGCUGUUGGAGGGGUGCUUUACGGAGCUUCAGGUCCUGGAGGAAUAAAUGCCCAGCAUUUCCUUCAUCACCACGCGGUGUUGCCAACUUAGCGAUCUUAUCGCUAUAUUUAGCGAGUUUUCAGACCCCCUUAGCGAGUUUUGUAAUGAGUAGUGCGUGCAAAACAACAAGUCCAAGUACAGAUUCCAAGCACUGUAGCUCCCGUGGCGAUUCCUCCGCGAAUCCCACACAGUGCAAGUGUCUGUGGAAGUGAAUGGUGACGACUCCAAAAAACCCCCAGACCCAUCCGUGACUUCUCUCUGUGACUGACUCGCCACUCCCAACUCCUGGUGACACAUAACACACACAGCUCAGCAUGAAAUCCACAGCAGCGAGGUCUUCACUAAUUCACACAGAAGUCUGUACUUAACGGUUUUUACACUAGGAUCCAGCGCUGACCAGAGCUCAGCCACACUCUUAAAUAUGGCUCCCCUGAUGAGCCUGAUCUGCUGCAGCUGCCCGCAGAUAACGAGCAGCAGGUGAGGCAUCCUCCAGCGCAGGAAGACUUCUGGGUCGCGAUUCCUCAGGUGACCCAAAACACCUGGGAGCACACACUGAGAGACGGGAGCGAAAAAAGAGAGAAAACAACAAAACUCUACACACAGAAAGAAAAUAAACAGGGCUCGGCAGGGAGUGAGAGUCACAGGUGUGGAGCCUACUGCAACAGAAGGAGAGGCGGAUUAUUGUCAGGCAGAGAAUACCGGAAGCAAGACGAGUCUUUACUAGAAAUCAUGCUUACUUGGAAAGUGAGGAGUAAUGUGCUCCAAGGGAGAUGCAACCAGUGAUCUGGCUGAGCAGAAGAGCAGCCAGGUAAGAUGUCUGAGCAUUUUGUUCUUCCAGACCACUGAGGAAAAGCAUCCCACAGAGAAAUUAAAGAGCUGAGUUUUGGAUGCUUCAAAAGGAGACAAGCCUGUAGCAGAGAAGGUGAGAGUUAUUGUUAGGUUUAUAUUGUUGGAUUGUCAUUUAUGCUUAGAAAUAUAUACUCAUAUAUGCUUAGAAGUAUAUAAUCGUUUGUAGAUUGAAGGAAUGUCUUAUCCUAGGAGGUCUGCAACAACCCUGUCUACCGUGAAAAGGGGAGUACGUUCUCUCCUCUUCCAGAGUGUUCUGGCAUAAGUCACACACCUCCUAGGGCAGGGGUCGGCAA